UAGCUCAGCGGUAGAGCGCUUGCCUAGGAAGCACAAGGCCCUGGGUUCGAUCCCCAG
Molecule: transfer RNA, 57 nt
Filed under: Rattus norvegicus (Norway rat)
Lineage: Eukaryota; Metazoa; Chordata; Mammalia; Rodentia; Muridae
Rfam family: tRNA
About the family: Transfer RNA (tRNA) molecules are approximately 80 nucleotides in length. Their secondary structure includes four short double-helical elements and three loops (D, anti-codon, and T loops).
Source: Rfam by way of RNAcentral